CGGUUGGGUUUUUAACAUCCAGUUAACCGGUUCAAGAAUUUUUGAACCGUUACAUCCUUAAGUUAGGAGCCAUGGUGGCUCAGUAAGAUGUUGGCUCGCUAACCUUGAAGUCCUGUGUUCAAUUGCUGUGUUUAUAACACUAUAUAGAGUUAUUUUAGGUCUAAGAAAAGUGUUCUGUUUAAUAUAGAAAUCUUUACCUACAUGAUGUGUGACGAAAACUAGGGUAAUGAAGUAGUUUGCAUUAUCCUACUACUAACUUAGAGUCUAGACUUAGACUAACUCACCCCCAGUUAUGUCAGUAUCCAUUUCUGGAAAGUAGGGUAUUAUCGUCCAGUCAUCUCGGGCACAGAUUAGUACAAUUAACUAGAAUAAUGUUGACGUUAAACGGUGCCUAUAUGAAACACUUACCCAAAAAUGGUAAUUGUCCCGCCCCAAUAGCUGCUGCAUUAUACUUCUAUAUAUUAUAGAGCGGGUUUGAUUUACCUCAAACAAUCAUUCGGAGCUCAAGGGGAACAUACCUAUAGCCUCCUCGGCUUAGAGGCUAGGGCGAACACAUCAUCCUAGAUUAGUACAAUUAACUAGAAUAAUGUUGAUGUUAAACGGUGCCUAUACGAAACACUUACCCAAAAAUGGUAAUUGUCCCGCCCCAAUAGCUGCUGCAUUAUACUUCUAUAUAUUAUAGAGCAGGUUUGAUUUACCUCAGACAAUCAUUCGGAGCUCAAGGGGAACAUACCUAUAGCCUCCUCGGCUAAGAGGCUUGGGCGAACGCAUCAUCCUAGCGCGAACCUUAUGUAGAACUAACAAGAAGUAUGUGGCUCUUGUUACGUUUAAGCCGUUAGGUCUGAGUUAGAAAGGAUAUUAAACUCAGACCGUGGAGAUUUUAAUUACUCAAAAAGUAACUAUCAUAGAUAUUGUAGUUUCGUGUAUGUGACCUUUGUAGUUUGCUGUAUUCGUUAGAUAAACUUAGUAACAACAUAAACGGUGUUCCAGAGUCCAUUAAUUGAUGAUUGAGAUAAUUGAUCCAACAACAAGAAGUCCAAGCAGGUCCUAGACGAUCAUCUGUCCCCAUAGUGUCACAGCUAAUUCCUUUUUGGUACCGCGACAUAGGAUAGUGUCAAAUGUUAACCAAGAAAGUUCAUCGUGAUUUACCGGCGUGGUUUCCUGUCGUCAUGAGUCCUGUUGGAGCAGAACAGUAGGACGUUAAAACCCAUUUCAUAUGUAUAUUGAGUUUAUAAUACAAGUUAUAUUGAGUUCAUGAUUUUGAGCGUAUAAGAUAUUAGUUGAACUUGUUAAAGGGACAAUAACACUCUGGCUGGCUUGACAGCUCCAGAAAAUAGAAAAAUAGUCUUAAUCUAAGUACUAGAUGUGUUAGUGUCUUACCUGAUGUGUUAAUUAUCCAUUAAAUCCUAUUUGAAUUGCCCAAAUGGUUCGAAAGUAUUUUUCAAUUCCAAAUCCAGUUGAAUCGUCUAACAUCAGACGAUUCAAAUAAUCUAAGAGUCAUUUCUAUCAAGGGAGGUAAUAAACUCCAGAUUUGAUUGACUUCCUGUUCUAAAAAUAGCUUUCCAUGAUGUCAUAAGGGGGAUAUCCUCAAGUGUUGUGCGGUUUAUUGUUGCAAAUAAAUAAAUACAUAAUGUCAACGGGAAUGUGAAAGGAAAUGGGGAUUAAUAUGACUUGGAUUACCAAACAAUUAAUUCAAACUUAUUAAUAACAUUCUAGACAGUCCGUCUUAGGUCUAAUUAGCCUGAAUUGUAUAUACACAUAGAGGUGUCAAUCAGCUAGAUCUCUAUCUAUCUAUUGUCAUUGACUACAUGUAUUGUCCUUGAGUUCGAACAGUGUGAUUUUUUUCCUUCGAUUAACAAGUCCAAUUAACCUUUGUACGAAUUGAAGGAGAAACUGAAAAUAGAGACUCAUCAAGAAGUGGCAAAGCUGUUAUUGGACAGGUAGGCCUAAUUUGCAAAAUAUUAUCAUGAGAAUCUAUAUUCAGCUUAUUAUUACCAUUGGAAUGGGAAACGUUUCGUUUUGAAAAAUAUUACUGUUUAUAAAUAUUAUAUCUUUAUAAAACGUGGGGAUCACGGUAGCUAUUUGGGUAAGACGCUGGCUCGCUAGCCUGGAGGUCGGGUGUUCGAUCCUUGCAUUUACCGAGAAAGUUCAUCCAGAAUUUCCUACGUGGUUCCCCCUUGUCAGUGAUGCAGGACAGAGGGCCUGAUAAGGACAGCUGUCUAGUCGUUCGAGGGGACGAAAAACUGAGGUCCCGUGUACACAUUGGCCUGCACGUAAAAGAUCCCUUUACAUUUGCAAUUCGAUAUAAGAGUAGGCCGUAGUAAAAUUUCCCUCAUAGCACACUGUAUGGUGUAUGCCCGUCUUCAUUAGCCCAGUUCGGAGCAGAACAGUAGGACGUUAAACUCCAUUUCAUUUUAUAAAAGAUGUGAAAUAUUGUUUCUAUUUCUUUACCAUUGUUUAAAUCGCUAAUAUUUGGGACCUAGAAAUUGACACAAAUGGGUCGCAACGUUUAUAAUAAUGUAAUAUAUGUGUACAUAUAAACUUAUUUACAAUUUACAUUCAAUCAUUUCUGUUUUUACUGUUAAUUCUAAUCAGUUAUGUUCGACGAAUUGCCCCAGAAGUAUCAAUGAGACGGCAAUCUAUUUAUUAUGCAGGCUCUCCACCUAAGAAUAUGGGGUCACCGUCCUGACUUGUGGAAUAUGUCUAGCCCUGUUAUUUGAGUCCUUUGUUACAAAUGGUAAACAUGUAAAAUGUUCAUUUUUUUUAUAUAUAUUGGAUGUCAGAAGCCCAUCUUUUCCCAGUAAAAUCACAACAUCAAUGUCGAUUUAAAUUGACAAAUAAUUUUUGUCAGACUUUCGAUGAUAUUGGGUUAGAGACUUAGCUACUGUACUUUAAUCUAGAUGGUUGAAUAUCUCAUAUGAGCUAUGGUUUAUUAGUAACCUGAAUUUAAAUUUAAUUAUUGUAAGGGUUUUUUUUACUAUCUUGUAUAAUAACUAAUAUUAACAGACAAUUUUUUGAUGAAUGACUGGUGAAUGUAUUUAUUUUUUCAGCUAUUAGCGGAAUUUGUGUGCCUUCAAAUGCUGGAGCACUGCAUGUUUCAGAACUAUCAUCCAUUCAUGGCAGUACUGAUACAGACAAGGGAAAGAACAGGCCUCCUGAAAUGUCUACAAUCUCUGUAGGAAUAAGCCCCUUUCAAGACAAUAUAACUCAAGAAAAGGCCAGACUCGAUGAUAAAGGCAAAAUGGGGCGAAAAUGACCACUAGACCAGGAUGGUCCUCGAAAGAUUGCAGACACAGGUGCAAAACCCCAGCCAGAACCAACUUCAGAGACAGCCAAGAAACAGAAAACCAGAUUUUAAUUAAACUAGCCAAUUUGAAGUGACUGAAAUGAAGGCUGCAGAACUUCCUGCUGCCGGUACUACCCGGACCAAUGACAUUAAUUUUUGUGGAUGAAAUAUAUCAAAGGAUAUUAUUACAGAAAAAAAUCACUUACUGGUGGUAAUGAAAUACAAUUCUCUGGUCUGGUACCGCAACAUAACUUCUCAAUAUCUGUUGGCAUAUCUCCACAUCUGUCAUAGGAACACCAGUCUGGUGCAGUUGAGGUUGGAUAUGGGGGUUGGAUUGGCUGUUGGUUUCUUAGUUCUUCAGAAAUGUCAAAUAAAACUGCAGGCAUUUUUUCAGCCACAGACAACAAAAGUAUCCUACAUCCAUCCACUUACCAGUUUCUGAAAUUAUUUGAAAAUUAUGUUUGCAAUUUGUAAAUAAUUAUCUCUGGGCUUACAUACUGUGUAAAUAUUUUAUAUAAUUAUGACCAGAAAUGAUCAUAUAUAUAUUUGUUAUAUAAUUACAAGAAAGUGUGUGAAUAAUAAUCCAUUGUGAGCUUACAAAAUAUUUCUUUAUAUCUUAAUCUUAAAAAUUUGGUUUCAUAAAUAUUCUUGCUUGCUGUUUCUGUGUAUAUAUUUUACAACUAUUAAAAAAAGAGUUUUCUAACCUUGAGUCCCUCAGUUUUUUUCUUUUUUGAGUCUUUCGACCCUCUCCCUUGUUGACUCAGUUUUCCCUUUUUGUCUUUUCCCUCUUUUUGGUCUCGGUGGGGUGGUUUUGAAUGACGUUACAUGUAAUUGCAGCUUCCGUUAAGAUCUAAUUGUCCUUGAUGUAGAUGAUGCUGUUUAUGUUGAAGGUUGGGCAGCAUGAGUUGCUUCUGGCAUAAUUGAUAAAGUAAGUAAUA
Patella vulgata (common limpet) is the source of this 4224-nucleotide long non-coding RNA. RefSeq lists it as uncharacterized. Lineage: Eukaryota; Metazoa; Mollusca; Gastropoda; Patellidae. The transcript has 4 exons. The record is from RefSeq and is a predicted model, not a curated record.